UACGUAGGUGGCGAGCGUUGUCCGGAUUUACUGGGCGUAAAGAGCGCGCAGGCGGUCGUUCAAGUCGCGUGUGAAAGCCCCCGGCUCAACUGGGGAGGGUCACGCGAUACUGAUCGACUCGAAGGCAGGAGAGGGUAGUGGAAUUCCCGGUGUAGUGGUGAAAUGCGUAGAGAUGUGGAGGAACACCAGUGGCGAAGGCGGCGUGCUGGACCACGGCUGACGCUGAGGCGCGAAAGCCAGGGGAGCAAACGGG
RNAcentral lists this ribosomal RNA (253 nucleotides) under uncultured bacterium. RNAcentral's name for it is "partial 16S ribosomal RNA". It matches the Rfam family "Bacterial small subunit ribosomal RNA", at positions 524 to 776 of the family's 1533-position model. The record is from RNAcentral.